UACGGGGGGGGCAAGCGUUGUUCGGAAUUAUUGGGCGUAAAGAGCUCGUAGGCGGUUUGUCACGUCGGAUGUGAAAACCCGAGGCUUAACCUCGGGCCUGCAUUCGAUACGGGCUGACUAGAGUUCGGUAGGGGAGACUGGAAUUCCUGGUGUAGCGGUGAAAUGCGCAGAUAUCAGGAGGAACACCGGUGGCGAAGGCGGGUCUCUGGGCCGAUACUGACGCUGAGGAGCGAAAGCGUGGGGAGCGAACAGG
Molecule: ribosomal RNA, 253 nt
Filed under: uncultured bacterium
Lineage: Bacteria
Description: partial 16S ribosomal RNA
Rfam family: Bacterial small subunit ribosomal RNA
Source: RNAcentral